This 218-nucleotide ribosomal RNA is filed under the name uncultured bacterium. RNAcentral describes it as "partial 16S ribosomal RNA". It matches the Rfam family "Bacterial small subunit ribosomal RNA", at positions 1275 to 1500 of the family's 1533-position model. The record is from RNAcentral.
CGAAAAGUACGUCUCAGUUCGGAUUGGAGUCUGCAACUCGACUCCAUGAAGCUGGAUUCGCUAGUAAUCGCGCAUCAGCCAUGGCGCGGUGAAUACGUUCCCGGGCCUUGUACACACCGCCCGUCAAGCCAUGGAAGCCGGGGGUGCCUGAAGUGCGUGACCGCAAGGAGCGCCCUAAGGUAAAACCGGUGACUGGGGCUAAGUCGUAACAAGGUAUC